Drosophila biarmipes is the source of this 1040-nucleotide long non-coding RNA. RefSeq lists it as uncharacterized. Lineage: Eukaryota; Metazoa; Arthropoda; Insecta; Diptera; Drosophilidae. The transcript is spliced from 3 exons. The record is from RefSeq and is a predicted model, not a curated record.
GUUGUCAAAGAAAAUUCAGUGUUCGCUUGAAAAUUCUCAGUGGCUAGUAAGGCGGAACUAAAUUUGUGCUAAAAUGGAAGAAAUAUAAUUGCAUACUUACAUUGAAGAAGUGUGGAAUUUCUACUACCUACUUGGUGUUACCUUUAAGAAUAUCUUGGGGAGGUACAGAGGAUCUGUCUAGCAUCCUACUGGCAGCCUAUUUCACCAACAAGACCCUCAAGGAAUUGGGCAAGCUGCGGGGGACCAAGCUAAUAAGGGAGGGCAUAACCCUGUGAUCUUGAAAAUCGCCAUCCUCUGGAAACGAUGAAGACAAAGUGGACUAGUUUAAAUCCCCUUGGAAGGCGAACAAUUGGAUACACCCGAAAUUUUCGUCCUAAUCAAAAAGGUCAAGUGCAGUGCGGAUUUGGCCACAGAUCCGCAGGAUAAACCAUCUGGCCGACAUGAUUUUGACAGUUGGUUCACUCUGGUCUUCGCAAAUUAGCAGAAAGGGAUCUCGAUGUCCACUACCAAUGCCUACCACGAGACCAAAGGGAUAUACCUGCGUCAAGGAACUCCUAUUCUAGUAGAGCGGCUUAAUUACCUGGCAGCCACCCAGGUGUGGGCGAACAAACCGUAGGAUGCACUCCGCACCUCAACCAGUCCCUUUUUCCAACUGGGAAACCAUGUGGCUGGCGAAACAACCCGUUUAGGAGAUAGAUUGCAUCGGCCAACAUCUCGAAGGCUGCCGGUGAUCGAGGGAACUAUGACAUAGGGAACUAUGUCAGGAUCUGAAGUCCCUGACCCAGGCGACGACCUCGAUGAGGGGAUCGGGUGUAUCCCGUGGAUGCACUCGAUGUGCUGAUCGGGGACCAGUAAGCCAAAGGAUCAAACGGCUGGCACGGCUUGGUGGUGUGUAUACGUGUUUCUCUUAAAAUUGCCUACUGAGCACAAAAGCAUCAGCGGUCUCUGAAGGUGGAGGAUUGAACUAUAUAUGAAAAUGCACUAUCUCCAAAUUGAUGUGGUUAUUAAAAAAUGUGAUGGUAUUAAAAUAAAAAGUCUAC